AGGGGUUAAACUCAUUUUGAUAAGCAUAUAAAAUUUAGUUUUUGUGGUAAGAAUUUUUUAUACUCCAUUUGAACUCAAUUGAAGUAUUACAACCAUAUCCUUGCAGGUAUAGGAAACAGCUGCAAAAUGAUUUUAAUAUUUGCAAUAUAUUAGUGCUUUCAAUGUAUUCUGACAAUGGAAAAGUUCCUAACCGCAUGUCUGCAUUACACCUAUGACCCAGACUGUCAGUAUUGCAAACCCUAUAUGAAGACUCUGCUUUCACUGUUUAUGUAUACACCCCUAGACAACCGUGCUAUACAUGCACAAUAAAUCUUCAAAAGCGUAUUAAUAUUAUAUCUAUGUGGUACACAAAGAGGUGUACACAAAGAGGGGGUGUGAG
Molecule: non-coding RNA, 379 nt
Organism: Pelobates cultripes (western spadefoot toad)
Lineage: Eukaryota; Metazoa; Chordata; Amphibia; Anura; Pelobatidae
Source: the annotation of a GenBank genome assembly